GAGCGCUCGUAGCAAUACGGGAGCGGCAGACGGGAGAGUAACACGUGGGAACGUACCCUUCGGUUCGGAAUAACCCAGGGAAACUUGGGCUAAUACCGGAUACGUCCGCAAGGAGAAAGAUUUAUUGCCGAAGGAUUGGCCCGCGUCCGAUUAGCUUGUUGGCGGGGUAACGGCCCACCAAGGCGACGAUCGGUAGCUGGUCUGAGAGGAUGAUCAGCCACAUUGGGACUGAGACACGGCCCAAACUCCUACGGGAGGCAGCAGUGGGGAAUAUUGGACAAUGGGCGCAAGCCUGAUCCAGCCAUGCCGCGUGAGUGAUGACGGCCUUAGGGUUGUAAAGCUCUUUCGCUCGGGACGAUAAUGACGGUACCGAGAGAAGAAGCCCCGGCUAACUUCGUG
RNAcentral lists this ribosomal RNA (399 nucleotides) under uncultured bacterium. Its description in RNAcentral is "bacterial SSU rRNA". It matches the Rfam family "Bacterial small subunit ribosomal RNA", at positions 64 to 507 of the family's 1533-position model. The record is from RNAcentral.